RNAcentral lists this ribosomal RNA (310 nucleotides) under uncultured Methanomicrobiales archaeon. RNAcentral describes it as "bacterial SSU rRNA". It matches the Rfam family "Archaeal small subunit ribosomal RNA", at positions 1031 to 1338 of the family's 1478-position model. Lineage: Archaea; Methanobacteriati; Methanobacteriota; Methanomicrobia; Methanomicrobiales. The record is from RNAcentral.
AAGUCAGGCAACGAGCGAGACCCACGCCAACAGUUGCCAGCUCGUCCUCCGGGGAUGGUGGGGACGACUGUUGGGACCGCCUCUGCUAAAGAGGAGGAAGGAAUGGGCAACGGUAGGUCAGCAUGCCCCGAAUUAUCUGGGCUACACGCGGGCUACAAUGGGUGGGACAAUGGGUAUCGACACCGAAAGGUGAAGGCAAUCUCCUAAACCCAUCCGUAGUUCGGAUUGUGGGCUGCAACUCGCCCACAUGAAGCUGGAAUCUGUAGUAAUCGUGUCUCAAAAUGGCACGGUGAAUAUGUCCCUGCUCCUU